This is a long non-coding RNA of Tetranychus urticae (two-spotted spider mite), 2807 nucleotides long. RefSeq lists it as uncharacterized. Lineage: Eukaryota; Metazoa; Arthropoda; Arachnida; Trombidiformes; Tetranychidae. The record is from RefSeq and is a predicted model, not a curated record.
AAGACAAUUGUCAUCACAAUCAUUAAUCAUGGAUGAUUUAACACUAACAACAGGUUAUUAUUACUCGUUAACAUAAGCUUUCACAUUGUCAAAAAAUGAAUAUCAUGGGUAAAAGAACUGGGUUAAAUGAUUUUUACAAAGAAACGGUUUUACGAGAUGGCGAUGCUGGACAAACAAUCAAUUAAACAUGUUUAUUAUAAAACAAAAAUACUCAAUGUUGGCUCGGAAUAAGAUUGCUUAUGAUGAGUGUAUGAUGGAGUAGGGAUUGCAUAGGAAUCCUUUGGAGUUGGUGAAUACUUAGGUGCAGGAGUAUAGCCAUAGUAAGCUGGUGAAGCUGUUACUAUAGUUAUCAAGGUAAUUCCGAUGAGUUCCUGUUGUAAUUAAAAGGAAAAGAAUAAAAUAUCAAAUUAAUCCAAGAUGUUUUUGGUGGUAGAAGCUGCGAUGUUAAAGGACAAAUUGAAGAAACCAAAAACUAAUCACUGUAAGUCAUCAAAAAGUCGUUGAAACUUAUGGUCAUUAUUUUCAAUAUUACCUUGAGCAUGAUGGUGAUAGUUUGAUAAACAGUGAUUAAUGGGACACAAAACAGGAAAAUAGACGUAUUUGGUGGAUCACAAUGGUGUUAACGUAAACUAGGAAUACUCGUUGGUUGCUGACUUGAUGGUCAAUGAAAUUCAGUGGUGAUGAUGGUUGUUAAAACAGCAAAAUGGUAACGGAAGGAAGAAGGAAGUAAUACUUCGUACUACGUGAAAAAAACGAAACUGAUCGACAACUGUCCAGUUAGAGAGUUGAAUGUGGUGCUUAUAUAGUGAUGGACAUUGCAUGAUGAAGGAAACCUCCUUACCUGGUGAGGACUCCUCCAGAGUCAUGAUGAUGAAAAAAAACAACACAGUAGAGGGGAAAGUUUUUGGAUGAAAGUUGAAUUGCGAUUAUAAGAAAGCAUUUUAAGCCAGGCAAAGGAGGAGACUCGAGAUAUGCUGAAUAUUUUGAUUAUGAUGAUGAAACAGAUGAAGAAAGUGAAAAGGUCAGAAUGAGGUCAUGUAUUUAAUUGGAAAACUUCACAAUUUAUCGACUAUUGAUGGUUAUUAUUUUGGGGGGUGAUUAAUUGAUAAUGGUUGGUUGACCUGUGUCCAAUUUGGUUCUUUACCUUGCUUCCAAUCCAAAACAAUUACCAAUCAAUUUGGAUAAUAUUUGAUUUACUGGUUCCAUUAUUUUAAACACUCAAGCCUAUGUUGUUGUUGAUGUUGGACAAUUGAAAGUUAAUUGUUGACAAUAGUAGGCACAGCAGGAAUAAGCUGAAUUAAGUGAAUCAAUUCGUGGUCAAGUACAGACUUUAAUUGUUACCAGGACAAUAUGAAUUAUCAAAUUCAAGUUUAAUUCAAUAUUUUCAGUUGACUGUCUUUUAACAGUUUCAUUCAAGUUUCAUUUAAUCCAAUCAAUUUUGCUGUUUGCCUGUAAAGCCACAGAUAAGCGUAAUUGUGCGAAAAUGAAACGAUUUGAAUGUUUAAACGAGUUAACUGUAUUAUAAGUGUUGAUUCAUUGAACAAUUGUUUAAUUGUAUCACAAGCUGAUAAUGAAUUGAUUGAAUGUUUAAUUUACUUGUUUUAGUUUGGACAAAUAACUGAUCAAUGAUUUGAACCAUUUUGUGUAUUGAUUGGUUUAUCAUAAAUCACUUAACAUAAGAAAAUUUAAUUUUCAAUUAAAGAUUAAUCAAAGUUCAGAGUCAAUCAUUGAUAUCAAUAUUAACCAUUUGCAGAUUCAUCUAUGAUAAUGAUAUAAUAAUCAAUGAUUUCCUGGAUGGUAAAGAAAUCGCAAUCAAAAGGAAAAAAUGGAAGUAAAUUCAAGUGAAAACAUUAAGUAAACUGUUACAAUUGAAAUUAAGGAAUAACAUUUGAUUGGAAAAUUUGACGCAUCACUAUCAACACCAUCCUGAUGAUCGUUAUAAUCAUCAUCAUCAGGCAAACUGUUUCACCCUUACCAAUCUCAACAUGAGUUUAAUCGAUUCAAUCGUCAUUUCUUGGUGAAAAAAAACACCAUAACCAUUUCAUCGGUUUACAUUUUUUCCUUGCUCUUGCUGCUUCUUCCUAAACCAGUUUAAAUCAUAAUGAGAUGCUUAACCUGUUGAUCGGUUCGCAGUUAUGGAACGAGCAAAGUAAAUGUACCAAUGCAAUUCAAUUCACACCUACCCAAUCAAGCAAUCAACAGGCAAUGUUAACCAGUGAAACAAAUUGAUCAACUGUAAUCAUCACUUUAUAUCCAUUACUUUUGGUUUAUACAUAUUGGAGCAACAUUAUAAAUCUCACUCAAAGUUAUCCACUAAUUGUAUGGCAAUCAUCGACAAACAUCAUUACCAAUGUUGUCAAACUGGCCUCACUAAUUUACCUCAAAAGUUAAUCAAAACAGAGAGCAAUCAUUGACAGGAUCAAGAGUGGCUUUGAUGGUUAAUGGUCAAUAAUUAUGCUUAUUGUUUAAUCAUAUGCUUUAUCCUCUAAUUGUAAUCUCAAGCUCAUUUUCAACAGAUUUUAGUGUCUUCCAAGUCUCAGGUUUGACAAAAUGUGUUUACUUUGUCAAAUGGUUAAUGAUUUGGUUAACUAAACUGUUGGUUUUUAAUUUUAUUGGUGUUAGCAUUUUUUGCUGUUGUCUCAUCAUUAACUCGAAAAUUAACUCAUAAUUAUUUAAUAUGGUAGCCUCUCAAAUUCAACUGUAUUUCAACCUCUUUUUACACUUUUUUGUUUCAUCUCAUUGUGUUACACUUGUUUUACUCGGCCUUACAAGACUUGUUUAAUAAAUGUAUUUAUAUUUGUUUUUCA